Molecule: small RNA, 81 nt
Filed under: Gillisia mitskevichiae
Lineage: Bacteria; Pseudomonadati; Bacteroidota; Flavobacteriia; Flavobacteriales; Flavobacteriaceae
Description: Flavo-1 RNA
Rfam family: Flavo-1 RNA
Source: RNAcentral
UUAUAUCUCCUGCGAGGGAUAGUAGCGGUAGCUCCUAAUUGCUUUUUGCAAUUGGGACUUUAGCGAAUAGCCCGACCGCCU